CCUACGGGGGGCAGCAGUAGGGAAUUUUUCACAAUGGACGAAAGCCUGAUGGAGCACUGCCGCGUGAAUGAUGAAGGUCUUAUAGAUUGUAAAAUUCUUUGAUUUGGGAAGAAAAACGAAAGUAGGAAAUGACUUUAGUCUGACUGUACCAUUUUAAUAAGUAUCGGCUAACUCUGUGCCAGCAGCCGCGGUAAUACAUAGGAUGCAAGCGUUAUUCGGACUUACUGGGCGUAAAGCGAGCGCAGGCGGGUUAACAAGGUUGUUAUGAAAGGCUUUUGCUUAACCAAAGUUUGUAUCAAAAACUGUUAAUCGAGAGUGUAGGAGAGAGAUCUGGAAUGCCAUGUGGAGCGGUGGAAUGCGUAGAUA
RNAcentral lists this ribosomal RNA (366 nucleotides) under uncultured bacterium. RNAcentral's name for it is "partial 16S ribosomal RNA". It matches the Rfam family "Bacterial small subunit ribosomal RNA", at positions 338 to 696 of the family's 1533-position model. The record is from RNAcentral.